ACUACGGGUGGCAGCAGUGGGGGAUAUUGCACAAUGGGGGAAACCCUGAUGCAGCGACGCCGCGUGUGGGAAGACGGUCCUCUGGAUUGUAAACCACUGUCCCCAGGGACGAAGAUGACGGUACCUGGGGAGGAAGCUCCGUCUAACUACGUGCCAGCAGCCGCGGUAAUACGUAGGGAGCGAGCGUUGUCCGGAAUUACGGGGUGUAAAGGGAGCGUAGGCGGGACUGCAAGUUGGGUGUCAAAUCUACCGGCUCAACCGGUAGCCGCACUCAAAACUGCAGUUCUUGAGUGAAGUAGAGGCAGGCGGAAUUCCUAGUGUAGCGGUGAAAUGCGUAGAUAUUAGGAGGAACACCAGUGGCGAAGGCGGCCUGCUGGGCUUUUACUGACGCUGAGGCUCGAAAGUGUGGGGAGCAAACAGGAUUAGAUACCCUGGUAGUC
This 440-nucleotide ribosomal RNA is filed under the name uncultured bacterium. RNAcentral's name for it is "partial 16S ribosomal RNA". It matches the Rfam family "Bacterial small subunit ribosomal RNA", at positions 338 to 795 of the family's 1533-position model. The record is from RNAcentral.